Molecule: ribosomal RNA, 500 nt
Filed under: uncultured bacterium
Lineage: Bacteria
Description: partial 16S ribosomal RNA
Rfam family: Bacterial small subunit ribosomal RNA
Source: RNAcentral
AUUGAACGCUGGCGGAAUGCUUUACACAUGCAAGUCGAACGGCAGCACGGACUUCGGUCUGGUGGCGAGUGGCGAACGGGUGAGUAAUACAUCGGAACGUGCCCAGUCGUGGGGGAUAACGUAGCGAAAGCUACGCUGGUACCGCAUACGAUCUAAGGAUGAAAGCGGGGGAUCGCAAGACCUCGCGCGAUUGGAGCGGCCGAUGGCAGAUUAGGUAGUUGGUAGGGUAAAGGCCUACCAAGCCGACGAUCUGUAGCUGGUCUGAGAGGAUGAUCAGCCACACUGGGACUGAGACACGGCCCAGACUCCUACGGGAGGCAGCAGUGGGGAAUUUUGGACAAUGGGCGCAAGCCUGAUCCAGCCAUUCCGCGUGCAGGAUGAAGGCCUUCGGGUUGUAAACUGCUUUUGUACAGAACGAAAAGGCUCUGGUUAAUACCCGGGGCUCAUGACGGUACUGUAAGAAUAAGCACCGGCUAACUACGUGCCAGCCGCCGCAGUAA